Sebastes umbrosus (honeycomb rockfish) is the source of this 1989-nucleotide long non-coding RNA. RefSeq lists it as uncharacterized. Lineage: Eukaryota; Metazoa; Chordata; Actinopteri; Perciformes; Sebastidae. The record is from RefSeq and is a predicted model, not a curated record. The transcript is spliced from 2 exons.
UCAAACCAAUUGGUGACGUCAGGGUGACUACGUCCACUUCUUAUAUACAGUCUGUGGACUCAACAGGUACAUAAUUGUCUGUAAUUUUCCCCAACACCUUCUAUUUUAGACACCCAACACCUUCUACUCCUCUCUAUUUUAAGAGAAUUUUUUUUUUUCACAAGUGAUAAUUUGUUUUAUGAAAUAAUAAUAAUACCUGCAAAAAAGAUGGCUAACAUGUGCUUGUGUUACUUAUUUGUAUGUCUCUUCUGUUGUCCUUAAAACAAUUUAUACAUCACAGUGACGUUCUGAGUGAAUUAUCUGCCUCCUAAUCCAGCCUGUCGUCUUCAUGUUCACUCAGCAUUACAGAAAUUAUUUUAGUUUAUAAAUUAUUAAGGAAGAGGGCUGGAAUUAAUGUCCUUCAUCAGGUCAUAACCGGGGAGAGUAUAUGAUUAGUCAUAUAAAGUCAUUACAAACCACAAAAAGAGAAAUGUAAAAUCAGGAAAGCGUCACACAGGAGUGAACAGCGUAUUUGUUGGGGAUUAUUUUCAGUUGUGGAUUAAUACACAUUUGGUGCUCUAGUGAUUAUUUACAGCAGCAGGACGGUGCUGCGUUGAUCAUAAUGAAGGAACAUGUCAGACGGUGCCACAGUGUGGCUCACUGGUCCAUUGAAUAGAGGAAUAUGUUAUAUUAGACUUUAGCUUCACAAGCAAUACUUGUUAGCAGGAUCAAUUCAUUGCUAGUUUUGAUCUAUAUAAGGAAUAUGAAAUAUCGCCAGCCUUAUUAGCCUUCAGAACAGACAAGAAACAGGCACAUGAUGUGAUAAUAACUGGUCUAGAAUCAGUUUGUCCCGUUCUUAAAGGCAGUUAGCAGCACAUUAGCCCACCCCUGCUACAGAAGCAUGCAGGUCUGGAUGAAGCAGACCCUGUGAAGCAUCUCUCGUUAUAAUCCAAGCUAUUUAAGGCUAACACUCCCACUUGUGAAAACCCAAAGCCGAGCCUGUGAUUUAGAAUUCCAUGCAUGCGUUAUGUAAUGCUUUUGUCUUUCAUGCUUGAACUCCUCUCCAGGCACAGGCAUAGUUUAUUAAUGAAAGGGAUUGCAUGAUUGGGGGGUUGGUUGUAUGUGUGUGUGUAUUUGCAUCAGUGAACAAUAGUUUGUCGUAUCUGUGUGUGCAUGCCUGUGUGGGCAGAGCGAGUGUACUAUUAUGUGUGUCUGCUGCUCACGUGUGUGUGUGUGUGUGUGAGUGGGAGGAGAUAGUGGGGAUUCCUGUGCACUUGACAUGAGGAGCAUGACAACAUGGCCACCCACGACCAUGAAAGGUCAGGGUUUGUCUUCCCUGAAGACCGUAUAAUGGCCUGUCACAGUUUGCACGGAUUACCCUCAUAUGCCAGCUGACAUAUGUGACAUGUUGUGUGCGCUGACUGAGAGGCCCACAAAUUGUAGCCAAGUGGAGACUAAUAACCGAGAGUUGUUAUUCACUAUAUUGUAGAGAUGACAAAGUAGAAUUGUGCUGUUGUACACUAAGUGUUGUUGUCCUGUUUCUUCUUGUGAAUUAUUCAGACUUCCUGUCUUGUUGAAGUUCAAAAUUCAGUGAGUAAAAUCUAAAAGUAAAAUAUGACAUCACUUGUCUUUCUAACAGCAAUCCAAGGUUGCAGAGUAAAGCCGUGUUUGCCUCAUAAAAAGAAAUCUUUUUAAGAGUUUUUCUUUCUUUUUUGGAGGGUUAAAUAAUGUUCACUGUCUCUGUGUGCAUGCAGUCUUAGAAAUAAUUUGGGGCAUGCAUUGUGUCUGUUGCAGGUCGAACUCGCAUUGAGUAGACCAGGCUAUUUUUAUACACCGUUCAUAGCUAUACCUAAGAAAAAGUAGUCAAUUCAUACGUAAUCCACGUAAUUGUGAACCAGGAAGUAUAAAGAGAGACAAAUGCUGUGUAGGGAGGUAGUCGGGGUGGACAGGUGGGUCAAAAAAACAACGGACUUGCGUCCAGGAGACCGCUGUUCAUGUCCCGUGUGAAAC